This 264-nucleotide unclassified non-coding RNA is filed under the name Hevea brasiliensis (rubber tree). The record is from RNAcentral. Lineage: Eukaryota; Viridiplantae; Streptophyta; Magnoliopsida; Malpighiales; Euphorbiaceae.
CAUUAAUAAAUUUCACGGACUAAAAUUGCUAAUUUCACGAUUAUAUUUUUAUUUAACUUUAUGUCUAUUAAUACAACGAAUUUUUAAUAUUUUUGUAAUUUUGUAUUUUAAAGGAAACUUUCAGAUUUCAUGCUUUCAUUUAGUUUCAAUUAAAUGAUUUAAAGACCAGCUGCUACACUUAUCCUCCUUUCCUUGGAAUAACACAUCACCCCACCCUAUCCUCCUCCCCUUGGAAUAACACAUCACCCCACCCUAUCCUCCUCC